AGCAGCAGCCACGGUAACACGGAGGGGGCUAGCGUUGUUCGGAAUUACUGGGCGUAAAGCGCGCGUAGGCGGCUUGGUAAGUUAGAAGUGAAAGCCUGGGGCUCAACCCCAGAAUUGCCUUUAAGACUGCCGAGCUAGUAGGUGAGAGAGGUAAGUGGAAUUCCGAGUGUAGAGGUGAAAUUCGUAGAUAUUCGGAAGAACACCAGUGGCGAAGGCGGCUUACUGGCUCAUUCUAGACGCUGAGGUGCGAAAGCGUGGGGAGCAAACAGGAUUAGAUACCCCAGUAGUCCCUGUCUCUUAUAC
RNAcentral lists this ribosomal RNA (303 nucleotides) under uncultured bacterium. Its description in RNAcentral is "partial 16S ribosomal RNA". It matches the Rfam family "Bacterial small subunit ribosomal RNA", at positions 507 to 807 of the family's 1533-position model. The record is from RNAcentral.